This 546-nucleotide ribosomal RNA is filed under the name bacterium E-1-0-12F. RNAcentral's name for it is "bacterial SSU rRNA". It matches the Rfam family "Bacterial small subunit ribosomal RNA", at positions 371 to 903 of the family's 1533-position model. The record is from RNAcentral.
AUGGGGGGAACCCUGAUCCAGCCAUGCCGCGUGUGUGAAGAAGGCCUUUUGGUUGUAAAGCACUUUAAGCGAGGAGGAGGCAUACCUUAGAUUAAUACUCCUAGGAAUCAUUGGACGUUACUCGCAGAAUAAGCACCGGCUAACUCUGUGCCAGCAGCCGCGGUAAUACAGAGGGUGCAAGCGUUAAUCGGAUUUACUGGGCGUAAAGCGCGCGUAGGUGGCCAAUUAAGUCAAAUGUGAAAUCCCCGAGCUUAACUUGGGAAUUGCAUUCGAUACUGGUUGGCUAGAGUAUGGGAGAGGAUGGUAGAAUUCCAGGUGUAGCGGUGAAAUGCGUAGAGAUCUGGAGGAAUACCGAUGGCGAAGGCAGCCAUCUGGCCUAAUACUGACACUGAGGUGCGAAAGCAUGGGGAGCAAACAGGAUUAGAUACCCUGGUAGUCCAUGCCGUAAACGAUGUCUACUAGCCGUUGGGGCCUUUGAGGCUUUAGUGGCGCAGCUAACGCGAUAAGUAGACCGCCUGGGGAGUACNGUCGCAAGACUAAAACUCA